This 484-nucleotide ribosomal RNA is filed under the name uncultured bacterium. Its description in RNAcentral is "partial 16S ribosomal RNA". It matches the Rfam family "Bacterial small subunit ribosomal RNA", at positions 30 to 507 of the family's 1533-position model. The record is from RNAcentral.
AUUGAACGCUGGCGGCAGGCCUAACACAUGCAAGUCGAGCGGAUGAAGGGAGCUUGCUCCUGGAUUCAGCGGCGGACGGGUGAGUAAUGCCUAGGAAUCUGCCUGGUAGUGGGGGAUAACGUCCGGAAACGGGCGCUAAUACCGCAUACGUCCAGAGGGAGAAAGUGGGGGAUCUUCGGACCUCACGCUAUCAGAUGAGCCUAGGUCGGAUUAGCUAGUUGGUGGGGUAAAGGCCUACCAAGGCGACGAUCCGUAACUGGUCUGAGAGGAUGAUCAGUCACACUGGAACUGAGACACGGUCCAGACUCCUACGGGAGGCAGCAGUGGGGAAUAUUGGACAAUGGGCGAAAGCCUGAUGCAGCCAUGCCGCGUGUGUGAAGAAGGUCUUCGGAUUGUAAAGCACUUUAAGUUGGGAGGAAGGGCAGUAAGUUAAUACCUUGCUGUUUUGACGUUACCAACAGAAUAAGCACCGGCUAACUUCGUG